Molecule: ribosomal RNA, 902 nt
Filed under: uncultured bacterium
Lineage: Bacteria
Description: bacterial SSU rRNA
Rfam family: Bacterial small subunit ribosomal RNA
Source: RNAcentral
UCGAACGCGUCUUGGUUAUUGAUGUUAGAUGCUUGCAUUUAACUGAUUUAACAUUGAGACGAGUGGCGAACUGGUGAGUAACACGUGGGUAACCUGCCCUUGAAGUAGGGGAUAACACUUGGAAACAGGUGCUAAUACCGUAUAACAACCAAAACCACCUGGUUUUGGUUUAAAAGAUGGCUUCGGCUAUCACUUUAGGAUGGACCCGCGGCGUAUUAGCUUGUUGGUAAGGUAACGGCCUACCAAGGCAAUGAUACGUAGCCGACCUGAGAGGGUAAUCGGCCACAUUGGGACUGAGACACGGCCCAAACUCCUACGGGAGGCAGCAGUAGGGAAUCUUCCACAAUGGACGAAAGUCUGAUGGAGCAACGCCGCGUGAGUGAUGAAGGGUUUCGGCUCGUAAAACUCUGUUGUUGGAGAAGAACAGGUGUGAGAGUAACUGUUCACAUCUUGACGGUAUCCAACCAGAAAGCCACGGCUAACUACGUGCCAGCAGCCGCGGUAAUACGUAGGUGGCAAGCGUUGUCCGGAUUUAUUGGGCGUAAAGCGAGCGCAGGCGGUUUCUUAGGUCUGAUGUGAAAGCCUUCGGCUUAACCGGAGAAGUGCAUCGGAAACCAGGAGACUUGAGUGCAGAAGAGGACAGUGGAACUCCAUGUGUAGCGGUGAAAUGCGUAGAUAUAUGGAAGAACACCAGUGGCGAAGGCGGCUGUCUGGUCUGUAACUGACGCUGAGGCUCGAAAGCAUGGGUAGCGAACAGGAUUAGAUACCCUGGUAGUCCAUGCCGUAAACGAUGAGUGCUAAGUGUUGGAGGGUUUCCGCCCUUCAGUGCUGCAGCUAACGCAUUAAGCACUCCGCCUGGGGAGUACGACCGCAAGGUUGACACUCAAAGGAAUUGACGGGGG